GUGCACCAGUCGAGAAUUUUUCUCAAUGGGGGCAACCCUGAAGGAGCGACGCCGCGUGGAGGAUGAAGGCUUUCGGGUCGUAAACUCCUGUCAUUUGAGAACAAGUGCCAACACCUAACUACUGUUGGCUUGAUAGUAUCAGAAGAGGAAGGGACGGCUAACUCUGUGCCAGCAGCCGCGGUAAUACAGAGGUCCCAAGCGUUGUUCGGAUUCAUUGGGCGUAAAGGGUGCGUAGGUGGCGCCGUAAGUGGGGUGUGAAAUUCCGGAGCUUAACUCCGAAACUGCAUUCCAUACUGCGGUGCUUGAGGACUGGAGAGGAGACUGAAAUUUACGGUGUAGCAGUGAAAUGCGUAGAGAUCGUAAGGAAGACCAGUGGCGAAGGCGGGUCUCUGGACAGUUCCUGACACUGAGGCACGAAGGCCAGGGGAGCGAACGGGAUUAGAUACCCGCGUAGU
Molecule: ribosomal RNA, 455 nt
Filed under: uncultured organism
Description: bacterial SSU rRNA
Rfam family: Bacterial small subunit ribosomal RNA
Source: RNAcentral